Molecule: non-coding RNA, 837 nt
Organism: Camelina sativa (false flax)
Lineage: Eukaryota; Viridiplantae; Streptophyta; Magnoliopsida; Brassicales; Brassicaceae
Source: RefSeq, a predicted model, not a curated record
UAAAUGUGGAAGAAGUUUCGACAAGUGGAAGCUUCAAGGUUCCAGCCUCAGCCUUCCCAAGCAGAUCAAUCAGGCAAGCAUAUAUUGAGAACACCGAGAAGUCAUAAUGUAGUUUGGUUGACCCUUCCAGCCUCAGCCUUCCCAAGCAGAUCAAUCAGGGAACAGAAGCCAACGAUGGAGCUGGAGGAAACGAGUGGGACGAUGGCUUCUUAAUUCGACAGUGUGAAGAAAACAAGUGUAGGAAGAAGUCAUUUGGGCGUAGUAUUCGUCAGAUGUGAGUACUCGAACAACAAAGUUGUUGUAGCCGGAGCUGCUCAUGGAGAUGAUGCUACCUACACUCAAGACUACGAUCUUCUGAUCGAUGACGAAAACUACAUUAGAGCCGUCGAGGGGACCUACACCGAGAGCCACAUUACCUCCCUCAAGUUCUGUUUGCGCAAGUUAGAUACAUCGCGCCAGUAUGGAAGUCGAAAUGGAACACUUUUCGUUCUCGGAGGAGGAGAAAGCUCGAAGAUCAUCGGGUUUUACGGGAAAAACUCUGAUGUCCAUGACCUCACCACUCUCGGUGUCCACCUUUCGGUUUUCACAUCUCCACCUCCGUCAAAAUUUUACCAAUGAAGAUUAUAUAGUGCGACAAAAGAGGUUACGUGUAUAUAAAGGCAGCGGUGUUUUAGAGUAUGCAUAAGAGGAUGAUGUAUAUACAUGAGAUGGUUUCGAGCUCAUCUUAUAAGAAUGUAUCUGUUUAUCACUUUUGUUACUGUAGCUUUGAGCCUUUGUGCUUUUCAAGUCAGUAGAUGCCUUGUCAGUCUGAAUGUACGUAUAUAAUACCAAAUGAAG